GCGGUAACAGGUGUAGCAAUACAUGCUGACGAGCGGCGGACGGGUGAGUAACGCUUGGGAAUCUGCCUGUUAGUGGGGGACAACCCGGGGAAACUCGGGCUAAUACCGCAUACGCACUACGGUGGAAAGCCGGGGACCGCAAGGCCUGGCGCUAACAGAUGAGCCCAAGUCGGAUUAGCUAGUUGGUAGGGUAACGGCCUACCAAGGCGACGAUCCGUAACUGGUCUGAGAGGACGACCAGUCACACCGGAACUGAGACACGGUCCGGACUCCUACGGGAGGCAGCAGUGGGGAAUAUUGGACAAUGGGGGAAACCCUGAUCCAGCGACGCCGCGUGGGUGAAGAAGGCCUGCGGGUUGUAAAGCCCUUUCGGUUGGGAAGAAAAGCUGUGACCUAACACGUCGCGGCCUUGACGUAACCAACUAAAGAAGCACCGGCUAACUCUGUGCCAGCAGCCGCGGUAAUACAGAGGGUGCGAGCGUUAAUCGGAAUUACUGGGCGUAAAGCGCGCGUAGGCGGCUUUGCAAGCCGGAUGUGAAAUCCCCGGGCUUAACCUGGGAACUGCAUUCGGGACUGCAUUGCUAGAGUAUGGGAGAGGGAAGUGGAAUUUCAGGUGUAGCGGUGAAAUGCGUAGAUAUCUGAAGGAACAUCAGUGGCGAAAGCGACUUCCUGGACCAAUACUGACGCUCAUGUGCGAAAGCGUGGGGAGCAAACAGGAUUAGAUACCCUGGUAGUCCACGCCAUAAACGAUGAGAACUGGAUGUCGGGAGGGUCUGCCUCUCGGUGUCGUAGCUAACGCGUU
RNAcentral lists this ribosomal RNA (802 nucleotides) under Steroidobacter sp. Its description in RNAcentral is "bacterial SSU rRNA". It matches the Rfam family "Bacterial small subunit ribosomal RNA", at positions 66 to 861 of the family's 1533-position model. Lineage: Bacteria; Pseudomonadati; Pseudomonadota; Gammaproteobacteria; Steroidobacterales; Steroidobacteraceae. The record is from RNAcentral.